This 1172-nucleotide small RNA is filed under the name uncultured Rhodocyclaceae bacterium. RNAcentral's name for it is "bacterial SSU rRNA". The stretch from base 1 to 467 matches the Rfam family "Bacterial small subunit ribosomal RNA", at positions 1064 to 1533 of the family's 1533-position model. Lineage: Bacteria; Pseudomonadati; Pseudomonadota; Betaproteobacteria; Rhodocyclales; Rhodocyclaceae. The record is from RNAcentral.
GUCGUGAGAUGUUGGGUUAAGUCCCGCAACGAGCGCAACCCUUGUCAUUAGUUGCUACAUUCAGUUGGGCACUCUAAUGAGACUGCCGGUGACAAACCGGAGGAAGGUGGGGAUGACGUCAAGUCCUCAUGGCCCUUAUGGGUAGGGCCUCACACGUCAUACAAUGGCGGAUACAGAGGGUUGCCAACCCGCGAGGGGGAGCCAAUCCCAGAAAGUCCGUCGUAGUCCGGAUCGGAGUCUGCAACUCGACUCCGUGAAGUCGGAAUCGCUAGUAAUCGCGGAUCAGCAUGUCGCGGUGAAUACGUUCCCGGGUCUUGUACACACCGCCCAUCACACCAUGGGAGCGGGUUUCACCAGAAGUAGCUAGCCUAACCGCAAGGGGGGCGGUUACCACGGUGAGAUUCGUGACUGGGGUGAAGUCGUAACAAGGUAGCCGUAUCGGAAGGUGCGGCUGGAUCACCUCCUUUCUAGAGAAGGCGUUCUUGAAGAACGCGCAAGCAUCCACACUCAUCGGUUGUUCACAAACAGCAGGGACGCGGGGCGUGAAGUGCGCGGGACAGGGGAAGACAUCCUUGUUCGGCCGGCCCCCUGGACCCUAAGAAAUUGGGGUCUGUAGCUCAGUUGGUUAGAGCACCGUCUUGAUAAGGCGGGGGUCGUUGGUUCAACUCCAACCAGACCCACCAGAACAUGGGGGUGUAGCUCAGCUGGGAGAGCACCUGCUUUGCAAGCAGGGGGUCAUCGGUUCGAUCCCGUUCACCUCCACCAUUGACUGCAAGUCGAGUUGGCGCACGAGAAAUUGGAAAGGCUAGAACCAAGCGAAUGGACGUUUGCUUGGUUCUGGUUUUUUAUAAAGCCAGGGGCUGUUUGAUCUUUAACAAUACGGAAGAAGUACAACCACAUCACUUGCAGCUUUGGGGUGGUGUGGCUGGGUUAGAUUGUAUGUAUCGCCUAUUCCCAUUGAAGAGUUCGGUGGGGGUAGGAGCAACACAAGCGCUGAAGUAAAAAACCUGUGGCGUUGGGCCUUUGAAGUUAGUCGCUUCGAGGGGACAAGGUUAUAGGAUCAAGUGAAUAAGUGCAUGUGGUGGAUGCCUUGGCGAUUACAGGCGAUGAAGGACGUGGCAGCCUGCGAAAAGCUGCGGGGAGCUGGCAAACGAGCUUUGAUCCGCAGAUAU